RNAcentral lists this transfer RNA (74 nucleotides) under subsurface metagenome. Its description in RNAcentral is "tRNA-Thr". It matches the Rfam family "tRNA". Rfam says of the family: Transfer RNA (tRNA) molecules are approximately 80 nucleotides in length. Their secondary structure includes four short double-helical elements and three loops (D, anti-codon, and T loops). The record is from RNAcentral.
AGCCGAUGUAGCUCAAUGGUAGAGCACAGCUUUCGUAAAGCUGGGGUUGAGGGUCCGAAUCCCUCCAUCGGCUU